Molecule: ribosomal RNA, 480 nt
Filed under: uncultured bacterium
Lineage: Bacteria
Description: bacterial SSU rRNA
Rfam family: Bacterial small subunit ribosomal RNA (bases 55-480)
Source: RNAcentral
ACACAGAGAGAGUCUAUCACACAGAUAUACACGCGCGAUAUAUUGGAACGUGUAGGCCCCGCACAAGCAACGGGAGCGUGUGGUUUAAUGCGACGCAACACGAAGAACCCUUGACCUGGGCUUGACAUGACGCUGCACGCCGUCCGAAAGACGGCCGCCUGCGAGGGUGCGUCACAAGGUGCUGAAUGGCUGCCGUCAGCGCGUGUCGUGAGAUGUUGGGUUCAGUCCCGCAACGAGCGCAACCCGCGUCGGUAGUUACUCGUUGUCUACCGAGACUGCCCCGUGACCGGCGGAGGAAGGCGCGGAUGACGUCAAGUCAGCAUGGCCCUUACGUCCAGGGCGACACACACGCUACAAUGGCCACGACAAUGCGUUGCCAAGCGCAAGCGGAGCUAAUCGCUUAAGCGUGGUCACAGUGCAGAUUCGGGGGCUGCAACUCGCGCCCGUGAAGGCGGAGUUGCUAGUAACCGCGUAAGGGCG